This is a non-coding RNA of Portunus trituberculatus (swimming crab), 75 nucleotides long. The record is from the annotation of a RefSeq genome assembly. Lineage: Eukaryota; Metazoa; Arthropoda; Malacostraca; Decapoda; Portunidae.
GCGCGCGCGUAGUGUAGUGGUUAGCACGCUCGACUCAAACUCGAGAGGGUCUGGGUUCGAGUCCCAGAGGCGGCG